Molecule: ribosomal RNA, 497 nt
Filed under: uncultured bacterium
Lineage: Bacteria
Description: partial 16S ribosomal RNA
Rfam family: Bacterial small subunit ribosomal RNA
Source: RNAcentral
GACGAACGCUGGCGGCGUGCCUAAUACAUGCAAGUCGAGCGAACAGACGAGGAGUUUGUUCCUCUGACGGUAGCGGCGGACGGGUGAGUAACACGUGGAUAAUCAACCUAUAAGACUGGGAUAACUACGGGAAACCGGAGCUAAUACCGGAGAAUAUAUUGAACCGCAUAGUUCAUUAGUGAAAGACGGUUUUGCUGUCACUUAUAGAUGUAUCAGCGCCUCAUGAGCUAGUUGUUAAGGUAACGGCUUACCAAGGCAACGAGGCGUAGCCGACCUGACGGGGUGGUCGGCCACCCGAGAACUGAGAAACGGCCCAGACUCCUGCGCUAGGAAGCAGUCGGGACUCUUCCGCAAUGGGCGAAAGCCUAACAGAGCAAAACGGCGUGAGUCAUGAUGGUGUUCCGAUCGUAAAGCUCUGAUAUUAGGGAAGAACAAAUGUUUAAGUCUAUAUGCACGUAUUGACGGUACCUAAUAAGAAAGCCACGGCUAACUACGUG